UCACUCUCUCUAAAAAUUUUCUACUUGUAAGAGUUUUCUUUCUAGAAUUCCAUGUAACCACACCCUCCCUAUAAUCAAAUUAAGAGAAAAUGAAAGAAUUUUGUAAGAGAGAACAAAGUUUUUCCCUCUCCCUCUACCACCAGCUGGUUUUAAGAGAAAAAAGGGGGAAUUUUUUUCUUUUUUUUAUUUACAAAAACCACCACUCAUACUUACCAUGAUGAAGACAAGAAAACAUAUUUAUCAUCUCAAUCUCUACUUUAUCGGUCUCUUUGCAGUACACUUAUCUGCAUCACAGGUCUUUGCGUAGUAUCACUAUUUUCUUGGUUCCUCUAGUCAUAUUGGUUUGCCAAGAUCGCUCACUUUGAAUCCUUUGAUGCAUUGCUUCAUGAUGCGGGAAACAAGAUGGGACUCUUUUAUCUGUAGAGAAAUGGAUAUCCCUCUCUACAUUUUGACUCCUUUUUUGCUUCAAACUUUAUGGCUUUGAAUGACUUCAAACUCCUGUGUUUUUAUAUAAUAACAAUGAGCUUUUUGUAUUUCUUAGUUCUGCUUAAUGCAUCUUCAAGUGCUAUAAAUUGUUUUUGCUUAACUACUUAGAUAGAAUUAAUGAAUUUUAUAGGCAAAAAAAGGAUGUGAAGAAGAGUUUAAAACAGCUCCACAGAAGCUUCGUGGCAAGAAAGUUGAUAUAUUUCAAGAGACAGUGGAAAUCAUAGUUCUUAACCAGAACUUAUGUUCUAUACGCUGAUAAUGUAGUUGCAAUUUGAAGAAAAGUAUGAUGAGUUUUAUGCUUUUAUGACAGGACCGCAUAGAAAGUCUUGAACAACUUCUAAAAUCCAGGCUCCAAGAUUUGUUUCAAAGAAGAUUCCUACUCUAAGUCGUCAUUGUAUUAUUCCUCUUUGCAGCCUUUCAAUCCUAUAUUUUCUUUAUUCUCCA
This is a long non-coding RNA of Populus trichocarpa (black cottonwood), 930 nucleotides long. RefSeq lists it as uncharacterized. The transcript has 2 exons. NCBI's taxonomy places the organism in Eukaryota, Viridiplantae, Streptophyta, Magnoliopsida, Malpighiales, Salicaceae. The record is from RefSeq and is a predicted model, not a curated record.